Long non-coding RNA from Ictalurus punctatus (channel catfish), 772 nucleotides. NCBI's taxonomy places the organism in Eukaryota, Metazoa, Chordata, Actinopteri, Siluriformes, Ictaluridae. The record is from Ensembl.
UUUUCACCAUAAUUUCACCAUUGCAUCGUAUUUUCACUCUGCCUAGAGUCAGCCCUUUAUAAUACAUCCUACUCUCUGUGCUCACAUGCUGAAUUUUAAUACAGCCGAAUUCCCAAUAAAGCUGUUCUCAUUUACAUAUUUUUUCUGUUUCUGAAAGCAGGACCUCGCACUCACCAGGCAGUACUGGCCAUUCUCUUCUACGGAAAGUAGCUAAGGCCUCCCUUGCGAGACGAGAAUCUUCACCAUCUGAAUCAUGAGUGCCGGUGCCCGUCGUCAGUCCCUUCUCUCUCCGUUACUGGACCUGGAUCUGGAUCUCGAUCUGGACACUCAUUACCAGCUUGUGCAUCUCACUGCUGAUAUCAUGAUGCUACUUAACUAUCUUCGCAGCACCCGCUCUAGGAAUGGAGAUCCGGGGUUCCCCCCUCUUCUUCGAUACAGAAUCUGCCUACAGCAUCUACAGCAAUCUACAGCAAAUAUGCUGUCUGAAAGAACCCGUUAAUAUCAAGGGCAACAAGUGCUGAGAUUGUGACGGUGAUGAAAAGGUGGCUGCAGCUGGCUUCAGACCGUGGAGGAGGAUGGAAGAGGUGCAACAAACAGUAGCUUGCCCUGACUAGGAACGCAUAAACCAUUGAAAUCAACGAGGAAAAAAUUCAGCUAAUUGACGCUCUCUCCCUGGGCAAAGCCUGCGAACUUCGCCCGGAGCUCAGUCCAUGUACUUUCGGAAAUUUCGGUUGUGUGGUCUCGCCAUGAGUGAUGCUACUGUACUUUUGAC